GAUUUUCCCAAUAAAAAAGUCUGGUCGGUCGGUCGGGGGAAAAAAAAGAAAAACAAAUAUCUUUCAAGACAGAAAAAUAUGCAAAAUAUAUAUAUAUUUCACCUUUCUUACAUGCUAUUUUGUCAUCAUGUCUUAAAUUGUAGGUCAAUGAAAUAUUAUUGCUCAGCUGUCAUAAAUAUCGCAUCUUAUAAUUUCUCGUAAAAAAGGGGGGUGCACGGACAAAGACAAAAUUAAAUCCUCAUUUUUCAAACAAGAAAAACAGAUUCGCAUAGCUCUUAAUCAAUUUCAGAAAACUUGGUGAAUAAUGAUCUUUAAGC
This 317-nucleotide long non-coding RNA is filed under the name Mytilus galloprovincialis (Mediterranean mussel). The record is from RNAcentral. Lineage: Eukaryota; Metazoa; Mollusca; Bivalvia; Mytilida; Mytilidae.